Molecule: ribosomal RNA, 617 nt
Filed under: Arthrobotrys musiformis
Lineage: Eukaryota; Fungi; Ascomycota; Orbiliomycetes; Orbiliales; Orbiliaceae
Description: eukaryotic LSU rRNA
Rfam family: 5.8S ribosomal RNA (bases 236-389)
Source: RNAcentral
UCCGUAGGUGAACCUGCGGAAGGAUCAUUACCAAUCAGCGGGAGGCCGCGAGGCCUCCUGUACUGCCUGUUUGGCCGCCUUAACUGCGCGGUCAACUGGUUAACCCUUUGUGAACCAAAAAAACCUUUCGCUUCGGCAGCUGGGCCCUGACCGGCCUGUCAGCCUGCCGUUAGCACCCUUCAAAAACUUGUUGUCAAAACAUUGUCUGAUAACCAAAUUUUCGAAUGAAAAUUAAAACUUUCAACAACGGAUCUCUUGGUUCCCGCAUCGAUGAAGAACGCAGCGAAACGCGAUAGUUAAUGUGAAUUGCAGAAUUCAGUGAAUCAUCGAGUCUUUGAACGCACAUUGCGCCCAUUGGUAUUCCUUUGGGCAUGUCUGUUUGAGCGUCAUUACAACCCCUCAGCUAACGCUGGUUUUGAACCCGAACGGCCUCGUGCCGCACCGGUUUUAAAGUUGUAAGCUCUGCUGGCCGCUCUGCCCCAACCAGAACAUAGUAAGCAACUACUUGUUAGGGUGAAGGUGAACGGUUACGGCCUGAACAAAACCUACUUCUCAAGGUUUGACCUCAGAUCAGACAAGGAUACCCGCUGAACUUAAGCAUAUCAAUAAGCGGAGGA